GGGAAUGAUCCAUAGCAUCUAUAUGCUAUGGAAUAAAAAAUGGCAUAUCGCAUCUUAACCAUCUGUGUAAUUAAUGAAGGGCUGAAAUUUGUUUUGGGUUAACACCGUCCGCUAGUAAUUCUAGCGGACGUAUUAAGUAUGAUUUCUGGACAUUUAUGUCCCCCUAAUUAGCCCCAACAAAUACAGAAACUACACAAUCCACUAGAUUCUAGCGGAUGGAUAAUUACCUCAAAACAAUUGGGGGAAAAUCGACAAAGGUUAAACAACACAGGGGCAUUCAUAGACUUGAGAUUAAUUUUCCAAAUCAGAGUACAUCUAAUUCACGUUAUCCCAAAGCUCUUUGGCCGUGGAAUAACACAUAUAGUUGGAGCUAAUUUGCUCUUCCAUUGAGUUCACAAGCCAGGUCAUCACCAUCGAGUUUUUUGCAUCCCGGAUCGCAUAUGCAUGUUCCUCCGGUGUCGACGCUUUCUUAUUUCCUGUUAGGUACCCAAUUUUUUCUCUUCCUCUGAUAUACAUCCGUAUAGACCGGGACCAUCGUAAAAAAUUAUCGCCAUUAAGGCGUAUGGUAGUGAUUUAAACUGAGUGGGAAUCAGUAUUGGGUGUUUGGACAGUAGGAUUGGUUGACAGAGUGUUUGGCUGAGUUGCAGCAGGUGCGGUAGAAGUAGAGGACUUGUUAGACAUGGCAGCUUAGCGGAAGAAGGAAGAGGAAAAUAUGCAGAAACAAAUAGGUUGAUUUUUCUCUUUGAAUUUUUUUAGGGUUGCUUUGAUUCCAUGUGAAAUGAAAGAGAGAAACUUUUUCUUAUUUCUCGAAGGUUUUACACAGACUCUUCUUAUAGAAGAGAAUACAAGCACAAAAUCAGUGUAAUGUCUGUCUAUUUGGCUUGGCUAAGGUGGGAAACACAAGGGCAUAAAUGUUCAGAAAUCAUACUUAAUCCGUCCGCUAGAAAUACUAGCCUAGCGGACGGUGUUAACCCAAAACAUAUGUCAGCCUUUCAUUAAUUACACGGAUAGUUAAGAUGUAAUAUGCCAC
RNAcentral lists this long non-coding RNA (1030 nucleotides) under Panax ginseng (ginseng). Its description in RNAcentral is "long non-coding RNA (PGIN_LNC017369)". Lineage: Eukaryota; Viridiplantae; Streptophyta; Magnoliopsida; Apiales; Araliaceae. The record is from RNAcentral.